UACGGGGGGAGCAAGCGUUAAUCGGAAUUACUGGGCGUAAAGCGCACGUAGGCGGCUUGGUAUGUCGGGUGUGAAAUCCCCGGGCUCAACCUGGGAACUGCAUCCGAAACUGCCUUGCUCGAGUAUGGGAGAGGGAAGUGGAAUUUCCGGUGUAGCGGUGAAAUGCGUAGAUAUCGGAAGGAACAUCAGUGGCGAAGGCGACUUCCUGGACCAAUACUGACGCUCAGGUGCGAAAGCGUGGGGAGCAAACAGG
Molecule: ribosomal RNA, 253 nt
Filed under: uncultured bacterium
Lineage: Bacteria
Description: partial 16S ribosomal RNA
Rfam family: Bacterial small subunit ribosomal RNA
Source: RNAcentral